GCAGCCUGCAACUCGGCUGCAUGAAGCUGGAAUCGCUAGUAAUCGCGGAUCAGAAUGCCGCGGUGAAUACGUUCCCGGGUCUUGUACACACCGCCCGUCACACCAUGGGAGCCGGGAAUGCUCGAAGUCAGUGGCCCAACCGCAGGGAGGGAGCUGCCGAAGGCAGGCCUGGUGACUGGGGUGAAGUCGUAACAAGGUAGC
RNAcentral lists this ribosomal RNA (201 nucleotides) under uncultured bacterium. RNAcentral describes it as "partial 16S ribosomal RNA". It matches the Rfam family "Bacterial small subunit ribosomal RNA", at positions 1300 to 1500 of the family's 1533-position model. The record is from RNAcentral.